AUAAACGACUCUCGGCAACGGAUAUCUCGGCUCACGCAUCGAUGAAGAACGUAGCAAAAUGCGAUACUUGGUGUGAAUUGCAGAAUCCCGUGAACCAUCGAGUUUUUGAACGCAAGUUGCGCCCGAAGCCUUUUGGCUGAGGGCACGUCUGCCUGGGCGUCACAC
RNAcentral lists this ribosomal RNA (165 nucleotides) under Senecio involucratus. RNAcentral describes it as "5.8S ribosomal RNA". It matches the Rfam family "5.8S ribosomal RNA". Rfam says of the family: 5.8S ribosomal RNA (5.8S rRNA) is a component of the large subunit of the eukaryotic ribosome. It is transcribed by RNA polymerase I as part of the 45S precursor that also contains 18S and 28S rRNA. Functionally, it is thought that 5.8S rRNA may be involved in ribosome translocation. RNAcentral also lists the same sequence under 12 other names. Lineage: Eukaryota; Viridiplantae; Streptophyta; Magnoliopsida; Asterales; Asteraceae. The record is from RNAcentral.